AUUGAACGCUGGCGGCAGGCCUAACACAUGCAAGUCGAGCGGAUGAAGGGAGCUUGCUCCUGGAUUCAGCGGCGGACGGGUGAGUAAUGCCCAGGAAUCUGCCUGGUAGUGGGGGAUAACGUCCGGAAACGGGCGCUAAUACCGCAUACGUCCUGAGGGAGAAAGUGGGGGAUCUUCGGACCUCACGCUAUCAGAUGAGCCUAGGUCGGAUUAGCUAGUUGGUGGGGUAAAGGCCUACCAAGGCGACGAUCCGUAACUGGUCUGAGAGGAUGAUCAGUCACACUGGAACUGAGACACGGUCCAGACUCCUACGGGAGGCAGCAGUGGGGAAUAUUGGACAAUGGGCGAAAGCCUGAUCCAGCCAUACCGCGUGUGUGAAGAAGGUCUUCGGAUUGUAAAGCACUUUAAGUUGGGAGGAAGGGCAGUAAGUUAAUACCUUGCUGUUUUGACGUUACCAACAGAAUAAGCACCGGCUAACUUCGUG
Molecule: ribosomal RNA, 484 nt
Filed under: uncultured bacterium
Lineage: Bacteria
Description: partial 16S ribosomal RNA
Rfam family: Bacterial small subunit ribosomal RNA
Source: RNAcentral